GUGCCACGGUUUCUGGCAUAUUCCCACCGGAUCCCCAACUGGUCUCCGUAACUGCCGAAAUUCCUCUCCCUCCUCCAGGGAUUCUGUGGGUCACUCCAUUAGGUUUAGGGUAGCCGGUAGAGGAAGCGAUGGCCCGUGGAGUUUCCCCUUCCUCCAGAUGAACAUCCGGUGAUGGGCCCUCUGCCCCCUUCGGGCUCCGAUCGCCCCCUCCGCUCAUCGUCACUUCACUGCAGCUCCGCAGGAGGGUGAGAAUCAGGGAUUCUCGCUUUAUGUCGCGCUCACUUCAAACGACCGGCAUGAAGACAGACCACUGGUGGCUGUUAUCAAACAGGAUCUUUAUUGAAGAACACUCGACAUGAACAAAGUCGAGAAUGGCAUAAUGUUUACAUACAAUCACCUUUAUCACCUUUGUUUCAACAUCACAUCACACGUAAUUAUCAUCACCACAAAACAGUUACUCAUUAAAAUUGUUUUGGUUACUCUCCUGAGUUUCCCAGGCUUCUCUGCCAGAUGUUCCGUGCGAGAUGUAGAGGAGUGUAAUUUGUUAUGGCUCCGAUUCAAGAGCUUGCAAACUCAGCUCUUGGAAUUGGUCCCAUGACACCAAAUAAUGUGUUAGUACAAAGUAUGUUUUCUUGCAAUGCCUUUCUCAUCAAAACUACUACUUCCUCCUUAGCAUGGGAACCAACCUUUUGCUGCUUCUACAGUACUCACAGCUCAACUUUUUCACUGUCUUUUUUCCCAGUGGGUGUAUCAUCCACACACACAUACUCAACAAAAAUGUACACACUUCCUCACCAAAGUACUAGACCCAGACAUAUGUAACCAUUGAAGGCAAAGCCUCAAGACACACAAAUACACACAUAGAGCAAGAGCCAGUAUCAUUCAUUUACCAAUUUCUGUAUUCAUCUGCCCCGCCCCCUGCCCAACAUGAUCUGUCUUUAAGAAUGCAGUCUUAUGUGUUUCCCACUGAACUCUGUGAUUCUUCUGAGUCGGCCUGCAUAGCCGCCUCCUGCAUAUCCCAUUCCCUUCUCCCCCUUUAUUUUUGUGUAGCCUCAAUCAUCCCUGUUGUGUUUACUGACUGGGAGAAGGAGCCCUUUAUAGUUCAGAUUAGGUGGGCAGAGGGAUAGAAAGACAGAAGGGACAAGAGAAAAACCAGCAAAGAAGAGUAUGGGCAGAUGUAAACUGUAGAUAAAAGGAGUAAAAUGGAAGCAAAGGAAGGAAAAUAAAAGAAAAAAUAUAGAUGAGAGAAGAUCAGAUUUAAAAAGCAGAAGCCAGAAAGUGAAAAAAGAGCAGUAUGGGAAGACUGAAAGAGGAGCCAACACUUAUUGAAAAUACAGGAUGGGGCUGCACGAAAACAAAACCUUUUCACUAUACAGUAUUGUAUGCAGCAUUUGAAAUGUCAUUUGCUUACUCUAUCAUGGCAGCCAGAUGGAAAUUUACAAAUCAGGCACAGUUAUACUGUGAUAUAAAUGCACAAGAUAUAAAUCGGAAUUAGUUAUUAAUUCACUCACAUAAAAAAACUACAUUAAAUUGGCCCACUCCCACAAUAAAUAGAAAUUCAAGUGUUUCACUAUAAAAGAAAAUGAUCAGUGAAACCCAUUUGACAGUGAUAAAAUGAAUAUUGGAUAUUAGGCUUGUGCAUUUUGUGUGAUUCACUAUCUGUUUCUGUUUGCCGGAUACCAGAAACCCUCUAUAUCCAUUUUUGCACACCUCCAAAAAUGGGUGCAUUGCCAAAUGGGCAUUUUCAUUCGGCAUUGGGAGCAAUGGGGAAUUUAGGAGGCUCCCCUUUCCCCUGGGAGCCUUUCCUUUCCUCUCUUUAAGGGAGCCUGGGCUUCAGCAAUGGGGUUAAGGAAGCAUCCUAUCCAGCCCAUUAUGGGGGGGGGGGGGCGCUUAACACAAGCUCCCCUUCCAUAUCCUGCAUUAAGACCUAGAUUUUAAAAAGCAUCAGAGUUAAGAUGCCACUCUUUCUGGAUCCUUUUCCUUCUGUUUGUUGAAGAGACUGUUUUUAAUGCUUCUUAAAGCUGUUUCUACUUUAUGCAGACACAUGCACUUUCUCUUCCACAUGAGCAGUGCGCGACGUAGCUUUCCAAGGCAUUUUAAAAAGGCCCAGGGAAGGAAGAGUGAUGACCUGGAGCUCAGUGGAGCUGUAUCUUCCCUGGACUACCUUAAAAAUCCCCCGUUUUCUCUACUGCCUGCAAUCUCCUUUCUACUUUGGUUUAAUGCUUCCUUACAGCUGUCUCUACUUUCUUCUCUAAAGGAGAGGUAGGCUUCUCUUUUUGUUUUAUGGGAUUAUUAUUAUUAAUUAUUACUAUCUUUUAGAAGUAUUUUCUGAAGGAGAGGAAGGGAAGGAGAAAAAGAAGCUAAAGUAAAUGGGUGACUUUCCAAGCCCCCAAAUGCACGUGCACCCCACCCACCAUCCUUCAGGUCCCAAACUCCCAGUCAGUCCCACUAAAUAAAAAAAAUCAGGAAAAUAAAGGAAAAUCAACAAGAUUAAACUGUGAUGGCAAAUAGGGGAGGAGGAACUGUGAUUGGCUGCCACGUGGUUCCUUUUUGCAUGGGAAUCCGUGACAGCUGGGCCCUUGCCAUUUCAGGCACUUGAACAAAACUGAGAAGCCGGAUUGGUGAAGGAAUGGCUAAAAAUUGACCUGGGCUCAAGUCUGUUGGAUAUCUAAGGAAGAAAACAACAUAACUUCCUAACAUGAAAAAGAAGCACUGUGGGGUUUUUUUUAAUAAAAAGAGCAUUUCCUAAUUACAUAUACAUAUGCAUAAACAUGAUUUAAAGGGACUUACUUUCCUUUUUUUCUGAAGUAGACCAAUCAUGCCCUAGAGUUCAGUGAAAAGUCUUUUUAUCUUGAUCACCUGUUAGGAACAGGUCUCAUACAUUACUAUGCAGGAAUACUAGUGGUGUAUAAAUGAUUCUAAUGGAAUAACUGUGAUAGCAAUAGGAUGGCAUUUUAUUUAAGAUUACCAGAUUAAAUCUCUGCAAAAAAAAUGUUGUGUGAAAGAUCGUUUAAAAAUAAGAGGAUUAAUUUUUUUUCCAAGACAGUUGUUUGAAAGGUUAAGACCAACGUAUAAAUUAUGAUAGAUAGAGCAAUUUGACUUCCUAUCCUUUAUGACCUUGAAGGAGCAGAAUCAGAUAUUAAAUCAAAUAAGAUAUUCAGUUUAUUAAUGACAGUUGACCAUCUACAUUCACUGGAGUUAGGAAUACAGGACCCCUGUGCAGGGGGAAAAACCAUGAAUAAAUUAGAACACCUCUCAAGGCAUUUGUAGUUUUGUCAAUGAAAUUUUAUGAUCAUCUUCUACCAGACGUUGACCAUAAAACCAUGGUAGAGAAUCCACAAAUGCAUAGAGAGAAUUUUCUCCCCCAUCCAGUUUAGGGUAGCAGUCAAGGUGAGGUGAUGCCAAAUACAGAAAUGUACAAAUACUAAAAUCCAUGGAUACUUAACCUGUAAAUGUGGAGAGGUGGUUAUAAUGACAAACUCUAAUUGCGGUCAGUAUGGCCUCAACAGCUGAUUCGGUCCUCUUUUCCUAUGAGCUUCUUGUAGAUAAAAUAAAUGAAAAAUGUCUUUAAAAUGAAAUCAUAAUUUUGAGAGUUUUAAUUCCAUAUGUCACCUAAGAGUUCUUUAAUGAGUUAGUGUUGAUUUACCAGAGCCAGUAUUGUUUGGCACUGCAUAAACAUCUUAGGUAAAGGUACAAAAAAAGCCUUGUCAGUGUUCAUGGAUUUAAAUUGCUGAAAAAAAUGUUGCAGCUCUAACUGGAUUAAUUUUGGGAAUUUAUAUCUUUGUUUUAAUUAUUAGCACAUCACACAUCAGUCAUUUUUGAGAAAGCUAUGCAAUCAGUUCUUCAGCGACACUGUAAUACUUUCUAGAUUAGAAAGUGAUUAUAUUCUAUUUAUUUGCUUCACUUCCCACGAAGCUUCAAGGACUUAUAUUUUAUAUGAAGGUAAUUUCAAGAUAGGGUUUUGAAACUAGUGAGUAUCACAUGAAAGCCCAGAAUUCCUUAAGAUGGCAGCAAGAGAAUUAAAAUGAUAUGAAAAUGAUAUCACAGUAGAUUUCAGGUAAAGCCAAUCUCUGUUCAUCCUCGAAGUAAAGCAGGUUCUGUCUCUUCCAGCAUAAUCCUAUACAUUUCUAUUCAGGAUUAAAUCCCAAUUGAGUUCAGUUUAAUGUACUCCCAGGUGUAUAGGAUUGCAGUUUUAUGACAGUUUCCAGCUACAAGAAUUAGUGUGUUGUUUUAUCAAUCUUAUCAGAGCUCUUAUCACUUCAUCCUCACAAUUUAGCCUGUUUGGGGAGUUACUACUAUUUUAAGGCAGCCAAGCAUCUUCCUAUUGUUUCAGAGAUAAAGCUACAGUAGAGUCUCACUUAUCCAACACUCGUUUAUCCAACGUUCUGGAUUAUCCAACGCCUUUUUGUAGUCAAUGUUUUCAAUAUGUCGUGAUAUUUUGGUGCUGAAUUCAUAAAUACAGUAAUUACUACAUAGCAUUACUGCGUAUUGAACUACUUUUUCUGCCAAAUUUGUUGUCUAACAUGAUGUUUUGGUGCUUCAUUUGUAAAAUCAUAACCUAAUUUGAUGUUUAAUAGGCUUUUCCUUAAUGCCUCCUUAUUAUCCAACAUAUUCGCUUAUCCAACAUUCUGCCGGCCAGUUUAUGUUGAAUAAGUGAGACUCUACUGUAUAUAUGUGCAGCUUCCAAAGCCAUAAAUGCCACUGAGGCUAUACCAGUAGUCACCACAAUAACUUGCCUGUUGUCCAUGUAUGUAGAAAUCUUCUACCCAGCCCAGAGUGGGAGUUUUAAUUGAAACUGAAUAAGUGAAUGAAUGUUUGGACUUGGCGAUUUUCAUCAUUUCCAGAUCACAGGGACAUAAUUCUCAAUCAAUUUCCCUUGGUUUUUUUUUUUAAUAGAUGAACUUAUGUUUAUCAAACAAGAGCUCCAUGUUCUCUUUAGAAAUAGGAAGGAGCUUCAAAAUAACUUCUGAUAUUAAUAGGCAACUCUCCUAUUUAAAAUGUUCAGUAGUUGCACAGGACACCCAAAAGACUUGUGUAUAGCUCUUUGGAUCUCAGCCAGUGUAGAUUUUAUUAAAAUGUUGCUUUAACAUAGUGUUAGAAAAAUAUUCCUACCAUAGCAUAAAAUCUAACAUAAAAUCCUGAAUGAAUAAAUGUGGCUAAUUGGCCAGAAUUACUUUGCACUUUGUUUUUUUUAGUAAUUAAACUGGUGUGAAAUAUAGUACGACCAUCAUAUUCAUGAAGAAUAUGUUCCCAGACUUCACAUAGAUACAUGAAAUGAUGGAGAAUAGCAAACCCUAUUUGAAAUUAAGUACUUGUAGCUGAGGGAAAUCACAAAGUUGUAUUGAAGGAUUAGAAAAUGCAUAGAGAUGAUGUGUUAGAAUGGACACAGAUAAAUGAAACCAUAGAUAUCAGUCUUGCAAAAAUUCCUGAACACUAUUCAAAGGGCUGGUUUUACUUAUCAGUCCUAUGCAGUUCAGGUCCUGGUUAUUUCUGUGACAAACCUGCCCUUUUUAUAAAAUCUUCUGGGGAGACCCUUGUCUCUGUCCUACCAUCCACAUAGGCAUCUGGUGGAGAAAGGACUUUCUCUGUAGUUGCCCUAAGGUUCUGGAAAUCCCUUUCCCAGAGAAUUAGAUUGGGGCACCUUCCCUAUUCUGCUUCCAAAGACAAGUGAAGACUGUUCUGUUUUGAUAGGCUUUUGAGAACUGAUUGAAGAAGGUCUGCCCCAUCUAUUUAAUGUGCUGGGUUUGUUGUGCUGGUAUCCAUAUGGAUGUGUGGGUGUUUUGCAUUUUUGUGGGGUUUUAUCAACUUUUGUAUCCUUUGUAAACAGUGCUGAGUCCUAAGCUGGGAAUGAAUAACAACAACAUUAACAACAACAUAGGGGCUUUGCAAACAUCAAAAGGCCCAAGGUGACACCUUGCAAGAGCAUAUAGAAUGGACAGUUGCAUGAACAUUGAGCACCAAUAAAUAAUAUGACAGGAGUCCCAUAGUCUCACAUCUCAGUUUAAACAAAGGAAGCAUAAGAUGUUUCAUUACAGAAAUGUUUUGAAGUAAAAAGAACUGCAUAUUAUCAACCAGGUGACUUGCUUGUGAUGGAACAUUUUCUCAUGUGUUAGGCUCCUUUGCUAAAUGUUUUGAUCACCUAUCUGUAUCAUUUAUAAAUGUUGUAGCUGCAAUUAUUUUAUUAUUCCCUCUUACUUUUGUUGCAAAAUUCUGGGAAAGGGCUAGUUAAGCAUCCCUUAUUCAGAAAUGUGAAGUCCGAAAUAUUCCAAAAUCCAAAAUUGUCAACAUGGGUGGCUGAGAUUUGCUUUCGGAUAGUUCAAACUUUGUUUCAUAUGCAAAAUUAUUAAAAAUAUUGCAGAAAUAUUUAUUCAAGUCAUAUAUAUACAUACAAUAGAGUCUCACUUAUCCAAGAUAAACGGGCCGGCAGAACAUUGGAUAACUGAAAAUCUUAGAUAAUAAGGAAGGAUUAAGAAAAAAGCCUAUUAAACAUCAAAUUACAUUAUGAUUUUACAAAUUAAGCACCAAAACAUAAUGUUUUACAAGAAAUUGACAGAAAAGGCAGUUCAAUACACAGUAAUGUUAUGUAGUAAUUACUGUAUUUACGAAUUUAGCACCAAAACAUUGCAACAUUUUCUACAAAAACAAUGACUACUGCCUUGGAUAAUACAGAACCUUGGAUAAGUGAAGCUUGGAUAAGUGAGACUCUAUAUAGUGUAUAUGAAACAUACAUGCAUUUCAUAUUUAGCUUUGAAUCUAAGAUUAUCCAAAUAGACAUAUUUCAAAAUUUGAAGAAAAAAAUCUGAAAUCCAAAACAUUUCUGGUCCCACGCAUUUUGGAUAAGGGUUACCUAACUGUACAGUAGUCUCAAUUGAGUGUUAAUAGUCCUAGUGUCUAAAGCACUGUCUCUUACCAUUCAUUCUUUUUUUUUCUGGAAAUACUGCCUUUUUUAAGAUCUGGAAAAAAAUGUAUGCAAUAAAAACAUAGCAAAGCACAUUGAAAAGAAAAUCUAGUGUACAUAAUUUGUUAUGCAAAGGGUGAGGUGGCAAGUUGAAUUUGACUGAAGGAAGCUGUCUGCACAGGAUGUUUAGGCACAUGUGUAGAUUGUGAAGCCACAGAUUAGGCUGUUAUUUUCACACGUCUGGAAAAUGCUUAAACUGACUGAGAUACAGUCUGUCUUUAUUCACUAACAGAGAUGGAGUCUGCCUUUCUUCAUUUUAAUAACAAUUCUGCCACAUUUUCCACGUUUGUUUUGCCACUAUCUAAACAUUUGUAAUCAGACAUAGUGCAGACUGGUGGGGUAUCCAUUUUAUUCCAACAAAAACAUUGGUUUUAAAAUAAAAGUAUUUGCUUCCUGUAUUGCCUCACAGUAAGCAAUUAUGAUAAUCAGUAUAUCUCACAAAACUGAAUUAUUAAUUCUGGAGAACACCCACUUGGCACACAAUGAAUACUUGAGCAUAUCCACAAAUAUACAGUAGAAUCUCACUUAUCCAAGUCUCGCGUAUCCAAGCUUCUGGAUUAUCCAAGCCAUUUUUGUAGUCAAUGUUUUCAAUAUAUCAUGAUAUUUUGGUGCUAAAUUCAUAAAUACAGUAAUUACAACAUAACAUUACUGCAUAUUGAACUACUUUUUCUGUCAAAUUUGUUGUAUAACAUGAUGUUUUGGUGCUUAAUUUGUAAAAUCAUAACCUAAUUUGAUGUUUAAUAGGCUUUUCCUUAAUCCCUCCCUAUUAUCCAAGAUAUUCGCUUAUCCAAGCUUCUGCCAGUCCGUUUAGCUUGGAUAGACUGUAGUUUUCAUUUAUGUGAAAUUUGAAGUUCUUAAAAUGAGAAGAUAUUACCUAAUAUUAAUGAUAAAAUAAUAAUAUUGACAAAUUUGUAAACUCUUUAUAAUUUGUAAACUCUUCAUAUUUGCAAAUGUUGACAGUUUGGCGUUUUUUAAAAGAAGAAGAAGAAGAAGAAGAAGAAAGAAGGAAGGAAGGAAGGAAGGAAGGAAGGAAGGAAGGAAGGAAGGAAGAAAGAAAGAGAGAGAGAGAGAGAGAGAGAGAGAAAGAAAGAAAGAAAGAAAGAAAGAAAGAAAGAAAGAAAGAAAGAAAGAAAGAAAGAAAGCAGCUUCAAAGGAAAGCAAAGUAGCUCAGAGGGAAUAUAGUAACAGGGCAAUUUUACUAAAGGUUGUGAAAUUAUGUUCCCGAAAGACAUACAACAACCGUUGUGAAAUUAUGUUUCACUGCAAAAAAAAUUCAGCAUUAUGCCCGCAUUUUCUCCCCAUCCUUGUUUCAUUCUGGGUUGCAAGAACAUGUGAUGACUGCCUGAGAAGAAUUAGAUAUAGACUUGGGAUUUUUUUUU
Anolis carolinensis (green anole) is the source of this 8337-nucleotide long non-coding RNA. RefSeq lists it as uncharacterized. The transcript is spliced from 2 exons. Lineage: Eukaryota; Metazoa; Chordata; Lepidosauria; Squamata; Anolidae. The record is from RefSeq and is a predicted model, not a curated record.